This 367-nucleotide ribosomal RNA is filed under the name Escherichia coli. RNAcentral's name for it is "bacterial SSU rRNA". It matches the Rfam family "Bacterial small subunit ribosomal RNA", at positions 1 to 362 of the family's 1533-position model. The record is from RNAcentral. Lineage: Bacteria; Pseudomonadati; Pseudomonadota; Gammaproteobacteria; Enterobacterales; Enterobacteriaceae.
UUAAAUUGAAGAGUUUGAUCAUGGCUCAGAUUGAACGCUGGCGGCAGGCCUAACACAUGCAAGUCGAACGGUAACAGGAAACAGCUUGCUGUUUCGCUGACGAGUGGCGGACGGGUGAGUAAUGUCUGGGAAACUGCCUGAUGGAGGGGGAUAACUACUGGAAACGGUAGCUAAUACCGCAUAACGUCGCAAGACCAAAGAGGGGGACCUUCGGGCCUCUUGCCAUCGGAUGUGCCCAGAUGGGAUUAGCUAGUAGGUGGGGUAACGGCUCACCUAGGCGACGAUCCCUAGCUGGUCUGAGAGGAUGACCAGCCACACUGGAACUGAGACACGGUCCAGACUCCUACGGGAGGCAGCAGUGGGGAAU